UACUGAAAAGUGAACUGUCCGGCUGGAGGGAGGCGCCCAGAGAGGGAUGGAGUUCCUCAGGGAUCUGUUUGGGGACCAAUCUUAUUUCAUCUUUUUAUUACUGACUUCAGCACAAAAAGUUGGAGUGUGCUAAUACAGUUUGCGGAUGAUACAAAGCUGGGAGAUAUUGCCAAUUUAGAGAAGGACCGGGAUAUCAUUCAGGAGGAUCUGGAUGACCUUGUAAACUGAAGUAAUAGUAAUAGGCUGAAAUUUAAUAGUGAGA
Long non-coding RNA from Dermochelys coriacea (leatherback sea turtle), 262 nucleotides. RefSeq lists it as uncharacterized. The transcript is spliced from 5 exons. NCBI's taxonomy places the organism in Eukaryota, Metazoa, Chordata, Testudines, Dermochelyidae. The record is from RefSeq and is a predicted model, not a curated record.